AGUCCCGCGUUCCUGUGAGGCCUCCGCGCCGCUCCGGAUGCCGCUCCUCUAGGCGCGAGGUCUUCCAGGGCCCUGCCCGGGCGCGCCGUUCGGGUCUAGGCGGGCCUCCUUCCCGGUGCUGACCCGGGCCUGUGCGAAGCGGGAUCUCUCGGGCGUCCCUCUCUUUGUCACCCCUUCCCCCGCCACGUGGAGGUGCCUCAGCCGCCUGAGCUCAGCCUGCCUGCGCCUGGAUUUUUAAGAAGGGGAAACCAAGGACAGAAGCCGCCCCCUAGGACGACGCGCCCGAGCCACCGGGAGGGUCUGAACGGCGGGGGCCUCCUGGAGCGCCUUCAGCGCCUCGUGUUUUCUUUCCUUGGGUCCCUGUUAGCGUCGCCGCAUGCACAGCGCUCCCUGUCAUUUGGUCCCUGAGCUUGGGUGUUUUUCACAUUUCAUCUAAAGAUGCAGACCCCUGCUAAGUCUAGCCAGCCUUCACCCUGAAUCUUGAACUUAAGAUGCUGCAUUUUCCACCCACCCCCACCCCUCUAGUAGCUGCAGAUUGACAAGCGGCUUUUCCCAACCAGAUGACAUUUUGGCUGCAAGAAUCCGUGGCCCGUUCUUGCCUCUGUGCAGCCAAGCUCCUUCGCUGUCUUUCUCAAACUGCAGUCCUGAGUUCAGCUUCGCUUAGCAGUGACCAUCCCAGAGGUGGGUAAUCCAACACUGGAUCCACUCACUGCAACCGGAGCUGGGGAUGGCAUGCCCUCUGCUUCCACUAACCGAGUGGCCUGCACCACAUUAAACUCUCCAGCUUUGAUUAUGUAAAAAUACAGAGAUCUUUUAUUUAUAGAGUUCCUACUGUUUCUCAGAGUAUUUAAACAUUUCUGCGGCAAGUAUGGAAGAAAAGACAAAUGAAAGCCCCAAAUUGUGACAAGAGGAGUAAGUAGCAAUGCCACUGUCAUCAGACAACCUGACUUGAAUUCCAACUCCCCUUCUUACAGGCUUGUGAUCUUGGCCAAAUGUCUGCUUCUCAGGGUUGUUUGGGAUAAUGUAUACAUAGAAAGCCCUUUAAAAAAAAAAAGUUAUCCCAGCACUUUGGGAGGCCGAAGCAGGCCGAUCACCUGAGGUCAGGAGUUCGAGACCAGCCUGACCAACAUGGCGAAACCCCGUCUCUACUAAAAAUACAAAAAUUAGCCGGGCGUGGUGGUGGGCGCCUGUAAUCCCAACU
Molecule: long non-coding RNA, 1201 nt
Filed under: Homo sapiens (human)
Lineage: Eukaryota; Metazoa; Chordata; Mammalia; Primates; Hominidae
Description: non-protein coding lnc-HCFC2-1:1
Source: RNAcentral